This 460-nucleotide ribosomal RNA is filed under the name uncultured bacterium. Its description in RNAcentral is "partial 16S ribosomal RNA". It matches the Rfam family "Bacterial small subunit ribosomal RNA", at positions 338 to 795 of the family's 1533-position model. The record is from RNAcentral.
CCUACGGGGUGCAGCAGUGAGGAAUAUUGGUCAAUGGACGAGAGUCUGAACCAGCCAAGUAGCGUGAAGGAUGACUGCCCUAUGGGUUGUAAACUUCUUUUAUAUGGGAAUAAAAUGUUCCACGUGUGGGAUUUUGUAUGUACCAUAUGAAUAAGGAUCGGCUAACUCCGUGCCAGCAGCCGCGGUAAUACGGAGGAUCCGAGCGUUAUCCGGAUUUAUUGGGUUUAAAGGGAGCGUAGGUGGAUUGUUAAGUCAGUUGUGAAAGUUUGCGGCUCAACCGUAAAAUUGCAGUUGAAACUGGCAGUCUUGAGUACAGUAGAGGUGGGCGGAAUUCGUGGUGUAGCGGUGAAAUGCUUAGAUAUCACGAAGAACUCCGAUUGCGAAGGCAGUUCACUGGACUGCAACUGACACUGAUGCUCGAAAGUGUGGGUAUCAAACAGGAUUAGAUACCCGAGUAGUC